Molecule: long non-coding RNA, 1736 nt
Filed under: Triticum aestivum (bread wheat)
Lineage: Eukaryota; Viridiplantae; Streptophyta; Magnoliopsida; Poales; Poaceae
Description: long non-coding RNA (TAES_LNC012825)
Source: RNAcentral
AUGAUGUGCCCAAGAACUGGAGGACAUGAUCUCACUCACCAGCAGGUACAGACUAAACUUACGGCAUUAUAAUGGUUGCUGUUUCUGCUUUACUAAAUAGAUACCAAAUCAUGUUCUGCAUUUGUAACCAUCUCUUCCUUUAUAUUCCUCUUUUAUUUCUGAAUGGUCUAAUAAUGGCAUCUGAUCUCAAAACUGAAUAGUGCAGUAGUAAGUAUUCUGUGUUGACCUACCCACGAAGGUGUAGCAUAACAUAACAGAUAAUUUGAAGGCCCAUAAUUAUCACUCUGGAAAGCCUUGUAUCAAGUUAGUUGGGCUGUAUUUGUUUUCUGCCAGCAACAUCCCCACCGUUGGCUGGCGUACAUUUCCCUCUCCUCAUACAUGGUGGUGUCAGACUCGAGGAUAAGUAGACACACUUGACCUUACAGAGCUGUUUUGAUACAGGUUGCAGCUGCUCACUCAUGCCACUUGGUCACUGAACUGAACAUCGAGUCGUAUUUACUCUGAAAAUGCUAGGUCAUGUCCUGUUAGUGCAGACCACUUUUAUGUCCUGAAACAUUUUUUUUUGACACCUGAAACAGUAGGAGAGGCUCCUACUGUAUGUAUUAAAUUAAAGUAUCAAAAAAAGGUCUUACAAAGUCAUAACCUUACAUCCAUGGCCAUGCUAAAAGAGUGUAGUAGGGUAGGAGCUGAGAAGGAGAGCUAGCCUAAGGGAGAACAAAAGAUUGAAUGAAGGAGGAAAUAAACUGUCUGUGCUUCUCUUUGGCUCUAUGUAUGAGGAGAGAGAAGUCCUCCUUAAAUCUUCUAGCCCAUGAGCUGACAGUAGGGUCCUGAAACAUUUGCCACCCCUGAUGCCAUUCAUCUCUGUUACGAUUUUCUCAUUACCUGCAGAAUUUUGGAUCUUAGCGCAAAUGUUUCUUGGAAAGUUUCUCCUGUUGUAUACCGAAGUUGUAGUUGGCACACACUUUUUGCAACUGCCUAUUUCUUAGUUAAUGUGUAAUUCUUACUCAAAAUAAAUACAUAAUAGAUUUUUAUCUCAUUUAAUCAGCAAUAAGAGGUUCUUAGACUGGGUGUCUUCUAUAAAAAAAAAGUGCUACUUUGGCUAGAUUGAUGACUUAUCAGAAAGAGCAACAAAUCUGAUAUAUAUAUUUACUAAUUUGAUGCUCUUUUGAAGCCUCCACAUUAAUCCAUGGAGAUUAGCAACUAUGACUGUCCCGUCUUUGCUGCGGAAGAUCUAGACCCUCGGAUCAGAAGAUGCACCCUCAGAUGGUGUAGGCCUUGCUAGUCAUGUCCUGAGUCACGCAGGCCUUGCUCGUCACAUGGUGUAGCAGCUGCAGCCCUGCUCCACCUCCUUUACAAUGCUGCGAAGUAAGGAAGCUUAUAGAGGUAUCCGUGUGUCAUUCCUUCACCAUCACACUUGAGAGUUCCAGUUUAGAUUUUUGAUCCUUGCAUAUCAUGUGUUCGCUCGUAAUAGUAUAAUGUCUCAUGAGUUUUAACUGCCCUGAUUUGUUUCCUCUACAAACUGUAGAUCUCCAAUCCAGAUAAAUAAUGUUUGCAUGCUCUCCUCUAUGAUUGUAGGUGCUUAAAUCUAAGCUGUACUGUUUCCUUUGUCGUUGUUUGGUAACUCGGUCAUGUUGAAUAUGUUACUAUAUGAAUUAAAACCACCACAGGAAUUAUGGAACGGAGUAAGUAGCAAUCACACACAUGUAUAAUGUUGUUGAAGUGUGGAGCCAUGCGUC